Molecule: ribosomal RNA, 644 nt
Filed under: Helix buchi
Lineage: Eukaryota; Metazoa; Mollusca; Gastropoda; Stylommatophora; Helicidae
Description: partial small subunit ribosomal RNA
Source: RNAcentral
CCAAAAACGGUUGAUCCUUUAAAGACAUUUAUUAUAGUGCUAUCUUUAUUUAUUGUACGCCAUCAUGGUACUUAUUGUUAACCCAGUUGAGAAAUUUUAUAAUCUAAGAAAUUAGGAAUAUGUUGCCAAUAGCAUAGUAACGACUCUUAAAGUGCCAGCAGUCGCGGUCAUACUUUAGUUACAAAUAAAGACUAUUAGGAUCUAUGUAAGUUAACUGUGUUACCUGUAGUGAAAUACGGUACCUUAGUACUUUAAUACUUAUAGGAUGCUAAAUACUGAAUCCAAACAGGGAUUAGAUACCCCUUUAUGCAGUACAUAAAUACUCAUCCUGAGGACUACAAUUAUAUAAUCGAAACUCAACUAACAUGGCGGUAGUUUAAAUAUUUAGGGGAACUUACUAAGUAAAUGAUAACCACCAAGGUAAUUUACGUUAAGUAACAUUUUACAUACCGUCGUCGGCAGAUAUGCUAUCAUAGUAUAUCAAAUUACUAUUAGUAAAAUGACAGAUCAAGGUGUAGACCACCUUAACGUUUCAGCGAGUUACAAUAUUUUUUAUUUUCGUUAACUAGUUGUAUUACUACGAGUACGCCGGACUUAAAAGUAAUAGAUAUUAAGUAUAUAGUAUGAAUAAUUUUAACCUGUGU